Molecule: RNA transcript, 4333 nt
Organism: Dinoponera quadriceps
Lineage: Eukaryota; Metazoa; Arthropoda; Insecta; Hymenoptera; Formicidae
Exons: 16
Source: RefSeq, a predicted model, not a curated record
UCUAGCUUCAAGUUCUCUCUGCUUGUGUCGGCUGGAGCACUGUUUACGAAGCGUGCAGGAACUGGUUAACGGUUUUCGCGAAGAUUUUCGACGAUAACGGAACGGCAGACGACCGCUCUUUCAUAUAACACACGUUCUUCUUUUAUGCGCCAGAAAUGCGACAUCCCGUUCACGGCGGGACCACUUUCCUGCGACAUGCCGAAGCGAACACAUCGUGUGUUUCGCGUGUGAUCUAGUUCCGGGUGCCCUGGCCGCGUCUAGAAGAAUUCAAGCCGCAGAGAGCGAUAUUUGGUGGAAGUAACGGCCGUUUACAACGUGCAUCAUAAGUAAAAUGGCCAACCGGGACCAGUCCGUCUCCAAAACCGCGGACGACCACAGUGUCGAGACGCUGGCGGAAGUUUUUCGAUGUUUCAUUUGUAUGGAAAAACUCAGAGACGCGCAUCUUUGUCCACACUGCAGUAAGUUAUGCUGCUACACAUGCAUUAGGAGAUGGCUUACUGAACAGCGUUCUCAAUGUCCUCACUGCCGAGCUUCACUUCACUUACACGAGUUGGUAAAUUGUCGUUGGGUCGAGGAAGUGACCCAGCAGCUUGAUACAUUGCAAGCUGUUGGUUUAUCCAAUUCUCGACAUGAUGAUUCCAGUAAAGACAGGUGCAAAAUGCAUCAUGAAAAAUUAUCUGUAUACUGUUGGCCUUGCCGCAAAUGUAUCUGUCAUCAGUGUGCUUUAUGGGGUGGCACCCAUUCAGGACAUACCUUCAAACCGUUAGAAGAUGUUUACGAGCAGCAUGUUACUCAGAUAAAAACAGAAGUGAGCCAAUUGAACAGGCGCCUUACUGAGCUGAUAAGUCUCGUUCAAGAAGUAGAGAGAAACGUCGAAUCAGUAAGAGCGGCGAAAGACGAGAGGGUCAGAGAGAUCAGGAACGCGAUAGAGCUGAUGAUAGCUCGUCUGGAUUCUCAGCUGAAGGCCAAACUGCUGACUCUGAUGGGUCAGAAGAAUUCGUUGACUCUGGAAACCGAGCAGCUGGAAGCUCUGCUGCAGGAGGUGGAGUAUCAGUUGCAUAAUUGCACACACUCCGAGCUGAUCGCCAAGAGUUCCGAAUUGUCUCGAAAAAUACAUCAAAUUCGCAAGAAGCCAAUGACGAGUUUCGUCACAGCUCCAGUGCCCGCAGACUUUCACAGCGAAAUUGUACCAGGCUACGACAGUGCGACGUUCUCCAUGCAAAACUUCACUCAGCUUCAACUGAAAGCUGACCCGGUGUACUCGGCUCCCUUGCAUGUUAAUGGUCUGUGUUGGAGAUUAAAGGUAUACCCAGAUGGCAACGGAGUUGUACGUGGGAAUUAUUUGUCAGUAUUUCUAGAGCUCAGUGCUGGGUUGCCGGAGACUUCAAAGUACGAAUACAGAGUCGAGAUGAUUCAUCAAGGCUCCCGCGACACGAGUAAAAACAUCGUUCGUGAAUUCGCGUCCGACUUUGAGAUCGGCGAAUGUUGGGGAUACAACAGAUUCUUCCGGUUGGACCUGCUCGCGACGGAAGGUUACUUAAACACGGAAUUGGACACUCUCAUAUUGAGAUUCCAGGUACGGCCGCCGACAUUUUACCAACGCUGCAGAGACCAGCAGUGGUACAUCAGUCAGCUGGUGACGGUUCAAAAUCAAUACGCCACUCAGAUCAACGAAUUAAAGGAGAGAUUAGCGAUAGAGAUUUCCCGUAAUGCCGUGGCAGCUACCAGAGCCACGAGCGGCAGUACGAUAUGCAGAUCACCUGCAAAUAUGUCACCUCUGUCUAUGCAGCAGCAACAACAAGGCUCGGACGAUAUGGCGGCCGGUUCGAACGCUACGCGUACCAUCGACACCGCUGCGAGUGGAGCAUCAACAAGGUCGAUAUCGAGUGUGCUUCCGGGUAACGGCGGCGGCAACAGCAGUGCGACGUUACCGAGCGAUCAUUUGAUAUCGAUGUACGACUUGGGCGAGCUCUCGAACAUCCAUCCUCCCGUCACCACGCCGACUUUGUCGUCGAAGACGUCACUGAAGUCGCAUCGUGCCAACAAUCUGAACGUCGUCGAGGCCGAAGCAGCUGCCCGUCGCGUCAACGACGUGUCGCUCGGGGAAUGCCAAGUCGCGGGAAUUCACCUGGUCCCUUCGUCCUCCUACUCGUCGCCCAGUGUUCUGAAUCAGCAGUCGUUAACCUUACUGUCCAACAACAACGGCGCCGGCAGCAACAGCGACCCCAUGCUCUGCUCUUCGACUUUGCCGUCGAGUGUGAUCGCGAGUGUGAAGCAGCAUCGCCUGGUGAAUAGCUUGAAUGUCUCGGACGGCGAAGUCGUGCAAUGUGACGGGUCGCCGGGUUCCGCUGCCGUCAGGGUUCAGUCGCCGUCGUCAUUCUACAUGUCGCCGCUGAAUCUCUCGUCCAAUAGCAGCAGCAGCGACAGUGGCGAAUUAAGCGAGCAUGACAUCUACUUGAAUGAGUGCGAGCACAACGAACCCAACGUCGCGCUCUUGGAUCUGGCGAAUGACGAGAACGACGUGGAUGACGAAACCAUGUCAGGAGAAAACGAUGUUGAAGUUGCGGAAUCUCUCGCACCUUGGGCUCAGAGCAAGCAACGCAUGAAGCAGCAAAACAGAGAUUCCGUCACAGAAACAAACCGGCUCAGGGAGAUAAUGCUGCUGAAUCUGUUCGAGAUGCAGAACAUGAACUCAGCGUGGACCCUCUGCCUCGGGCAGCAAGCGGACGAAAACUGCGAUUCGAGGAGCUCGCUCGCCUGUCUGCGGCGUCAUAGUUCCAGUCCCCUUGACUGUAACGACGUGGUGCCUACUACCGCGGCGUACUCGCAUAAGCAUCACGAGCUCGACACAUGCAACGAGCCGAGUCUCGCCGAUAGGCACUCCAACUGUGCUUACCAUCACUCCCAACGGCGUGUGACGGAAUUGACUCGACUGCUGAAUCAACUGCCAAGUGCUUGUCAGUCGAAGCUGGCCGCGUUAACGCCCUCCAGCAAUCAAACGACCCGCUCCGAACCGGCAACGCGCUCCAACUCGAUAGACUGCGAGAAAGAUUUGCCGAAACUGCCAGUAGUUAAUAAAGCGAACCACGAUGUGGAGUCACCUAGGCUGUCGGAUUUAAUUGCCCCGAAUGUUCUUUUAGACAGCAACAAAAUCAUGUCGAAGCAUUUGCUGUCUCGGCGCCAAUCGUCACCGUGUUCGUCCGCCAGCUUGAAUUUGAUAAACGACGAGAACAGCAAGACGUUCGAGUUCGAUCAAUUACUCGAAGCUAUCCAGAUAUUGUCGGGAACGCAGAAAGACGCGACUACUUGCAACGUAAAAUCGAGAAAAAGCACUUCGUCCGACGCGAAGAAUAACGCCUGCACUUCCAAUGGAGGUUCCACUGCGGUUUCGUUGAUACAGGAAGGAACCUCGUCGUCAUCUGCAAGCGCUAUGAUAACAGCGGACACUGUUCCUAGUCCCAAUAAUUAUAGCUGGUCGCCGGCAUUGUAUCAGCAUACACAUGACGGUCGUUUCAUCUUACAGCGCAGAAAGCUGUUCUAGAUUUGGCUGUACAAGGUUCGUCGAAUGAUAUUCCUAGUAAAAGUAAUCUCGAUAAAUCUACAGAAGAAGCUGCCAGUUCGCCGUAAUAAUUUAUAACUCGAGUAUAUCAUAACAAAUGUGUUCUGUGAUUUCUACUUUGUUUUAAUUGUAACCGCGAAAGAUUGAGGAGAGGAGCAUCUGCAUUCUGUCAAACAAAAUGAUCCUGACCACAAAAGUGUGUCUACACGAUUAGUCUGAUUUUUAUCGGGGACAUACAAUUUAUUUCAGACAGUAUAUAUGAAAAAAAUUGUAAUAAUAUAAUUGCUUGUGACUUUUUUAGCUAUCCUUUUUUUCUGAUUAUUGUGUAUGCGAAAUUAUUAUUUCUAAAAUACCAUUCCACGUGAAGUAGAAUUAAGUUUGUUAUUUAAUAUUAUUUAUUUCUUAUAUACAUGAAUUAUACACCCGAAAACAAAGAAUAAAUAAAAAUCAGUUGAAAACAAACGAAUUGUCUGUCACUUGAAAGAGAAAGUCCGUUUGAUAUCUUUCGCUCGAGUCUCGUGUUACUCGCGAAAAUAUUAGGUUGGUGCGUAUGAAAUGUCGGAUUUUUAAGUGAAUAUAUAAAACUGCGAUUGUAGCUUUUGCAGCAUUAUUGCCAAGUUUAUACUCAUAUAAAAAAAUUACACGAAUAUCGGUUGAAUUCAUAUCCGUACAAAAUUCAAAACAGAUAACAAAAGGGCACACUUUUGAAAAGAUCUUUGUUAAAAUAUGAUUCUGGCAAUGGACAGUACGACUGUAAAAGAGAUUAUGCCAAAA